This 253-nucleotide ribosomal RNA is filed under the name uncultured bacterium. Its description in RNAcentral is "partial 16S ribosomal RNA". It matches the Rfam family "Bacterial small subunit ribosomal RNA", at positions 524 to 776 of the family's 1533-position model. The record is from RNAcentral.
UACGUAGGGUGCAAGCGUUGUCCGGAAUUAUUGGGCGUAAAGAGCUCGUAGGCGGUUUGUCGCGUCUGCUGUGAAAACUCGGGGCUUAACUCCGGGCCUGCAGUGGGUACGGGCAGACUAGAGUGCGGUAGGGGAGACUGGAAUUCCUGGUGUAGCGGUGGAAUGCGCAGAUAUCAGGAGGAACACCAAUAGCGAAGGCAGCUCGCUGGGACGGUAUUGACGCUGAGGCGCGAAAGCGUGGGGAGCAAACAGG